Molecule: ribosomal RNA, 537 nt
Filed under: uncultured Acidobacteriota bacterium
Lineage: Bacteria; Pseudomonadati; Acidobacteriota
Description: bacterial SSU rRNA
Rfam family: Bacterial small subunit ribosomal RNA
Source: RNAcentral
UUGAUCCUGGCUCAGAAUCAACGCUGGCGGCGUGCCUAACACAUGCAAGUCGAACGCGAAAGCCCCGCAAGGGGUAAGUAGAGUGGCAAACGGGUGAGUUACACGUGGGUGACCUGCCUUCGAGUGGGGGAUAACGUCCCGAAAGGGACUCUAAUACCGCAUAACAUCCUGCCUUUGAAGAGGUGGAGAUCAAAGCUGGUGAUCGCAAGACCUAGCGCUCAAAGAGGGGCCCGCGUCUGAUUAGCUAGUUGGUGGGGUAACGGCUCACCAAGGCGACGAUCAGUAUCCGGCCUGAGAGGUCGGACGGACACACUGGGACUGAGACACGGCCCAGACUCCUACGGGAGGCUGCAGUGGGGAAUUGUUCGCAAUGGGCGCAAGCCUGACGACGCAACGCCGUGUGGAGGAUGAAGACCUUCGGGUCGUAAACUCCUUUCGAUCGAGACGAAUAGCCUCCGGGUGAACAAUCCGGAGGAUUGACGGUACCGAGAGAAGAAGCUCCGGCUAACUACGUGCCAGCAGCCGCGGUAAUAAGGU